AUAUUGGGUAGUAUGUGGCGAUAUUGAGGUGGUAUUGGGUAGUAUUGGGUAAAAUGUCCCGCCGUCAUAAUAGAGACACAAUUUAACCAGGCUUGAAAUUUGCGACAGUUUGACUAUUGCAGCUAGAGACACAUAAGUCACGUCUACACCACCAGCGACAAAAAAUCUAUGUUAUAGACUUUUGCCUAAAAAUUGCUUAUCUCUUAAGACCGGAAAUUGAUCAGUAUUAUGGGGGGUUUAGAUCGCAUUACAAACAAGAGAUGACAUUUUGUUAGGGUGCCAGAUGACGACGAACAGAAAAGGUUUCGCCAUGAUGUCGGUUUUGGAGGCACGGUCGACUUGGAAGAGAUAAUCACAUAAGUUACAUCAAACUGUAUAGUCUGCAAAGUAAAGAGGAGGUAUCCUGACAAAUGGACACAACCAUGAAUGAAGGAGCACUGUUCAAAAGACCUACCCAUAUUAUCAAACAAAACAUUCUUUUCUAUUAGUUAAAGAUACAUUAUGGAAGAUUAGAUAAAGAGCUAGCAGUUCUCACUAUAAUAGUUAUAACUAGAUGAUGUAAAUGGAAUAUGCUGAGAAUUUCAGUUAAAUUGCUUCACUACACGUGUAAGCUGAUAACGUUGACUAAUGAAGCUAGGCCUUUUAGUAAUGACAAUUGUUGUAGUAGUAUCCUAAUGUUCAACGUCUUCUUCCACAUAAGUGAUAUCGCAGACAAGAAAUAGGAGAGCCGAAGCUGCUUCCUGUUUUUAGAAUAUGAUUUUGCAAUCUUUCCAUUUUCGGCCUUAGGCCAUGGAUUGGGUUUUGUGGGAAGUUCUUCCCUUUAUUUAGUAAAAAACAUAUCGUUUGGUAGAUGUUUUCUUUUGCUUCUGGAUUGGUAGAUGUCUUCGUUGUGGGAUUAGUGUUUAGGUGCCAGGCCCGUCUUAUCGUGACCUCCCCUUACUCCACAAUCCCACUGUAUGGGUUUGGUAUCUGUUUCUUUUGCGGAAUAGUGUUUAGGUCCCGUGUCCGUCUGACCGUAUCUCCCUUUACUCCACUAUCCUGCUAGUUUGGCAGAUGUCAUCUUUGUGGGAUUUGUGUUUAGGUGCCAGGCCCGUCAUAUCGUGACCUCCCCUUACUCCCCUAUCCCACUCUGUAGGUUUGAUGUCUAUUUUUUGCCGGAAUAGUGUUUAGAUGCUGAGUCCGUCUGAUCGUGACUCUCCCUUACUCCACUAUCCUGCCAGUUUGGUAUAAAUCCCCUAUGUAGUUUAGUGUUUAGAUGCCGAGCCCGUCUAACCGUGCCCCUCCCCCCUACUUCACUAUUCUACUUAGUUCAACUGUGUCCAUUAGGGCGUGGAUUUGUUCGAAGAUUUGCAGUUUCAGAUCUGGUCUCGGGAAGAGUAAGUUCUUAGUGUUGAGUGAUAUGUUGUUAGUCUCCAUCAUUCUCACUAGUUCCCUUCUCUCCUCCGUGUAUACCUCGCAGUCUACCAGGACAUGGUUGGUGGUACAUUCUUCUCCGCACUCACAGACGAUGACUUGGUGUUUGUAGUCUCGCAGCCGCUCUUUCACCCUUAGUUUCGAUAUAAGUCACCCCGUGGGUUUUCUCCGGGUCCUCCGGUUUCCUCCCACUGCUAAAGACCCCUACGCGCAAGCGAAUUAUUGAAAUAAAAUUAAACCAUAUAUUAGUCCCGAAAUGACCUAGUUUGUGUCGAGUGGACGUUAAACCCCAUUUCUCUCUCUCUCUCUCGAUAUAAGUCUGCAUAUAUCUCUUCUAGGGUGAUUGGUCGCUGUCUUCGUGUAAAUUUUAUCAUCCAGUCGGAAUCUGUAUGUGUCAAGUUCAGCGAGUUUUAAUUCCCAGAAUGAAUUGACCUGCCUUUUAACCAUACUGUAGAUUUCCGUGGUGCUGUAGUCUAUGGUGCGGAGUGGUGCUGAGACCUUCGUUGGCGAGUCGAUCUGCCUCCUCGUUUCCUUUAAUGUUGACAUGUGAUGGAAUCCACACGAGCUCUAAUUUGCUUCCCUUCUCUAGGACCCUCUGGUACAGCUGCCUGAUUUCCAAAAUGACUUCUGGUCUUGAGUCCGAGUUGUCAUUUUUGAUUGAAAUCAGACUGCUCAGAGAAUCGCUUGGAAUGACGAACUUACUAGUCUUUUGAUGGGAGAUCCAUGAUAUAGCGUCACGAAUGGCCACAAGCUCUGCAGUGUACACCGAACAGUUAUUGGGCAGUUUCCUGCUUAUUCCCUGUUCCCCGUUUUCCAAACGAGCUUGUGCCCCUUUCAGAGUUGCGUGAGCCAUCCGUGUACACAUGGUCCCUGUCAUCAGACGGCCAGUUGUCUUCCAGGUGUUCUAGAGAGAAAGCACGUGCAUCAGUGGGGUUGUUUUUCUUGUCGGUUUUCUGUAGUAGAUCUAGAUUGACCGGCGGUAUAGGGAGCGUCCAAGGGGCGAUUGCUGGGGGGUCGUCUUCAUUUAUCACGAGCUCCCCCAGUCGCAGUUCCUUGAUUGUUUCCCUGAUACCCUGGCCGAAGCUUUUCUUUCUAGGAUCUCUCACAUAUCUUGUCUUUUGUAGACUGACAAAAGUAGGGGAUCUUUCGCCCAGUUGCGAGAUCUUUGCCCAAUACCUUGUCGCUAGUCCUUUUCUUCUUAGGGAUAGGGGCAACUCCCCGGCUUCCCGUAGUAAUGCCUCUCUCCUAGUCCCAAGCCAGUCGCAAUGCACAGAGCUUUGUAUUGGAUGGUGUCAAGCUUACUUAAGAGUUUUGGCGCGCAGUUCAUGAAGGCCAAAGAGCCGUAGUCUGAUACAGAGCGUAUUAGAGCACGAUACACCAUCAUUAAUGUAACUCUAUUGGCACCCCACGUGCUACCCGUUAUUUUUCUCAUUAAGUUUAGGAUUUUGGAGCAUCUAUCUACAGUCAAGUCUAUGUGCGGUUUCCAGGUCAGCCUUCGAUCAAAGAUUACGCCAAGGAACUUGGUUUGGUCUUUAAACUCGAUGGUUUUCCCGUUCAUACACAGAGUCAUUCUGCUUAUCCCACUAUCCCUGCUCACGAGCAUACCGACCGUUUUCUUCUCUGAGACUUUAAAUCCCCAGUCGUUUGCCCAUGUCAUGAAUUUGUCUACGGCCUUUUGCAUGUUCUUUUGCAGUUCACAAAGUUCUGGCAUCGAGGUAGGACGAUUUCUGUAUGUCAUUGAUCAUGAUAUUGAAGAGGGUGGGACUGAUGACCGACCCCUGAGGCGUGCCAUUUUCUAAUGUUUGCUUGGCACUCAGAAAUCUGCCACCAUUCACCUGUAUCCUUCUAUCACCCAGAAAGCUUUUGAUGCACCGAAACAUUAUGCCCGUUAUACCGAUACGUCCCAACUUAAAGAACAGCCCGUCUAACCAAACUAAAUCGAAACCCUUGGUCAUUAAAUCAUAUAAGUGGUCAGUAUUCUAAACUAAUGUUUAGUAUGUAUAUAAAGUGGUUAGACAUUAUACAGUUGUCAUUAAUUAGCAAGUGUGUAACUAGCUGGAAAAAAUGUGACUAUUUAUAACACCCAUCACUAUUGAAUACACAAACCUAACCAAUAGUGGUGUAUAUCAUUCAAUAAUCACAGUUUUAACACCUUAGUGACAAAACACCGACCUAAUGACUACUGCCGGAUUACUAACAUUUUAAACUAAAUAAUACACAUUAUGUAUAUAAACUGAUGACUUUGAUCUAUUAGUGUCGUAUAUUUUCAUUUAUAACAGUUAUUUGUUGCUUAGUCAACGAUAUCAAUGUUACAGUGCUAUAAGCCGAGAAACCCUUAGUUUAAAAAUGACUGUAGCCUCGAUUGUCAUUGUUGUUACUGCUGUCACGAUAAUAAACAAAGUCUUGAUUAUCCAUUGUUGCGUUUAAUCAACAGACAGUUAACAGCAGAUCAGAUUCAAAUCCAAUGAAAAUCGGACAACUUAGAUGACAUCAAGAGUUGAUUAUUAUAAAUGUCUAAUUAAUACAUGUAGUUUAUUUAACAUUUCAGACCUAAAGAAAGACCCGCAAUAAGCACAUUUACUUCUUGCAUAAUGCAUGUUUAAUAAACAUUGAUGCUAUUAAACAUAUUCCUGUUUUA
Long non-coding RNA from Patella vulgata (common limpet), 4051 nucleotides. RefSeq lists it as uncharacterized. Lineage: Eukaryota; Metazoa; Mollusca; Gastropoda; Patellidae. The record is from RefSeq and is a predicted model, not a curated record. The transcript has 2 exons.